AAUCAACGCUGGCGGCGUGCCUCAGACAUGCAAGUCGAACGAUUAAGACUUCCUUCGGGAAGUGCAUAAAGUGGCGCACGGGUGAGUAACACGUAAGUAAUCUACCCUCGAGUGGGGAAUAACGUUCGGAAACGGACGCUAAUACCGCAUAACGCAGCGGCACCGCAAGGUGACAGUUGUUAAAGGAGCAAUCCGCUUGAGGAGGAGCUUGCGGCAGAUUAGCUAGUUGGUAGGGUAAUGGCUUACCAAGGCUACGAUCUGUAUCCGGUCUAAGAGGACGGUCGGACACACUGACACUGAAUAACGGGUCAGACUCCUACGGGAGGCAGCAGUCGGGAAUUUUGGGCAAUGGGCGAAAGCCUGACCCAGCAACGCCGCGUGAAGGAUGAAGUAUUUCGGUAUGUAAACUUCGAAAGAAUAGGAAGAAUAAAUGACGGUACUAUAUAUAAGCUCCGGCUAACUAACGUGCCAGCAGCCGCGGU
Molecule: ribosomal RNA, 482 nt
Filed under: uncultured bacterium
Lineage: Bacteria
Description: bacterial SSU rRNA
Rfam family: Bacterial small subunit ribosomal RNA
Source: RNAcentral